This 497-nucleotide long non-coding RNA is filed under the name Rattus norvegicus (Norway rat). RNAcentral's name for it is "long non-coding RNA NONRATT009826". The record is from RNAcentral. Lineage: Eukaryota; Metazoa; Chordata; Mammalia; Rodentia; Muridae.
GCCAGGAGACUAGAGGGUUUCUAGAGAGCUACUGAUUUUAUAUCCAUAAUAGCUCGAAAGCACUAGUUCUGCUAGCUCUGAAGGAAUCAUCAUCAUCAUCACCCACAGUGGCAGCAAUGGUAGUAGCAGCAGCAGCAGCAACAACAGCAACAACAGGAAAAAUAAAUUCUCGUGUAAGAGCUAUUCUGUGGAGACCUGCUCUUUUCUGAGAAAAAAAAUGCAGAAGUGGCUUUUGCCUAACAAGAAUGUUGGUGGAGAACCUGGAGUAAUGGAGGGAAAGGAACUGUGCCCAGAAUGUAAUACAUGAGAUACAUAUUCUUCUAAUAAAAUAAAAAAAUAAAUGAAGAGAAUGAGGAAAGUAAGACUCAAUUGUGAGAGGGCUGAAGACGUGUGCAACACACAAGGAACCUGCUGUCUUCUUUGGACCUCAGAGAAGAGCCUAGGAGACAGUGCUCUUUCACAAACCCCAGCAGAGCUGACACUUCACUCAGCACUUC